GACGUAGGGCGCGAGCGUUGUCCGGAUUUAUUGGGCGUAAAGAGCUCGUAGGCGGCUUGUCGCGUCGUCCGUGAAAACCUGCGGCUCAACUGCAGGCUGGCGGUCGAUACGGGCAGACUAGAGUGCGGUAGGGGAGACUGGAAUUCCUGGUGUAGCGGUGAAAUGCGCAGAUAUCAGGAGGAACACCGGUGGCGAAGGCGGGUCUCUGGGCCGUAACUGACGCUGAGGAGCGAAAGCGUGGGGAGCGAACAGG
This 253-nucleotide ribosomal RNA is filed under the name uncultured bacterium. Its description in RNAcentral is "partial 16S ribosomal RNA". It matches the Rfam family "Bacterial small subunit ribosomal RNA", at positions 524 to 776 of the family's 1533-position model. The record is from RNAcentral.